Molecule: ribosomal RNA, 440 nt
Filed under: uncultured bacterium
Lineage: Bacteria
Description: partial 16S ribosomal RNA
Rfam family: Bacterial small subunit ribosomal RNA
Source: RNAcentral
CCUACGGGGGGCAGCAGUGGGGGAUAUUGCACAAUGGGGGAAACCCUGAUGCAGCGACGCCGCGUGUGGGAAGACGGUCUUCCGGAUUGUAAACCACUGUCCCCAGGGACGAAAAUGACGGUACCUGGGGAGGAAGCUCCGGCUAACUACGUGCCAGCAGCCGCGGUAAUACGUAGGGAGCAAGCGUUGUCCGGAAUUACUGGGUGUAAAGGGAGCGUAGGCGGGGAUGCAAGUUGGGUGUCAAAACUACCGGCUCAACCGAUAGUCGCACUCAAAACUGCAGCUCUUGAGUGAAGUAGAGGCAGGCGGAAUUCCUAGUGUAGCGGUGAAAUGCGUAGAUAUUAGGAGGAACACCAGUGGCGAAGGCGGCCUGCUGGGCUUUUACUGACGCUGAGGCUCGAAAGUGUGGGGAGCAAACAGGAUUAGAUACCCCUGUAGUC